RNAcentral lists this non-coding RNA (48 nucleotides) under Trichobilharzia regenti. The record is from RNAcentral. Lineage: Eukaryota; Metazoa; Platyhelminthes; Trematoda; Strigeidida; Schistosomatidae.
AUCCAGGUGACGGGUCCCACACAGGACGAAAUGCACAUUAUCCUGGAU